Long non-coding RNA from Rhinopithecus roxellana (golden snub-nosed monkey), 1473 nucleotides. RefSeq lists it as uncharacterized. The transcript is spliced from 3 exons. Lineage: Eukaryota; Metazoa; Chordata; Mammalia; Primates; Cercopithecidae. The record is from RefSeq and is a predicted model, not a curated record.
UAGAUAAUGCCUAUAGCUAUCUCUGAGAAGAUUGCUGCAAAGACUAAGAGGAACACAGACCUUUCUUCUGGAAUGUUCCUGCUCCUAUCUGUAGGAUGAAUGAGUGAAUGAGUGCAUCAGUGACUCAGACAAAGCCACUGUUGCACAACUGUAUGCAUGCACAGUGAACUCUGCAGACUUUGUGGAUGGUUCCUGUAAAUACAGCUUAAAACCGCAGUGGAAAAGCCACAUGCUCCUGAUACACUUGUGGGGACGUAAAGGGAAAACCCACACACCCAAGGAGGCGGACUCUGGCCAUGCAAGGCUGAAGGCCCAGUGUACUGAUAGGGAAACUGAAGCUCAGAGAGAAGAGGCGAUGUUGCUUUCUUAACCACUGGAUUUGUAGUGCUGUGGUUCUCAGGAGAGGCCAGGACAGGUUAACCUACUCGCUUGGGAGGCAGGCUUAAUCAUUGAUGUCUGUGGGAAGGUAGUACUGACCAAGUUUCUCCAUCGUGACCAGAGGGUGGGACUCCACAGCACACCAUGGAACAUGAAGGAAAUGGUCCCUCCACCUCUCCAGGCCCACACUCCUGCCCUGGGGGAUCCCUCCACCCUCAGAGAUGCUUUGAGCACAGAGGCCGAUACACACAACCCUCCAGUGUCAGCCCGGUCUGUCCUCCUGCCCAGCCUCCCCUGGAGCUCAGUCCCUGAACGUCUCCGAGUCAGCCCCAUGAAGCUCCAUGAAGUUCUCUAGAUGGUCCGCUGCAUCCUAGUCCCAGAGCACAGACAUACUGUGUUCCCCCUUGGUGGAAGGCCUUUCUAUGCAUUUUCCUGUAUUUAAUUAGUUGCUAAUACUGUAUUAAUAGACGAAACACUCUGAGGAACUCUAAAAACAUUUCAGGAGCCCAAGGCCUUCCUGAUAAAGGCCCAUAAACCUUGUCUUCGGUAUUCUUUGAAGUCGAAGCAACAUCUCCUGAGGCCUGGUUUUUCAGUUUGAUAGGGGCCAUGGCACUGGAUUCAAAUUCUAAAAGUUCUGAAUAUCCAACAACGUAUGAGUCUGUUGAAACUUCAGUUUAAAGUGAGGACACCUGGAAAACUCUCCCAAAAAAUAGGAUAAGGAAGGAGGUCACAACACAGCCCACCUUGCUCCCUCAGGACGUCCUGUGGCACAGGCUGAGCCUUGGGCGCUGGAGUCAUGGCCCUCAGUGAGGAGGCUUGCUCUCAUCCUUGUCACUAGGUUGUGGAACCGCAGCCCUCAAGAGGCCGAGUGACCUGGGCAGUGAGUCCACCAGUGAUGCCCUGGGACAAUGGGUUUUAGAGCAUUGUUGUCCAAUAGAAAUAUGGAGUUAGAAACACAUCUAAUUUUAAAUUUUCUAGCAGCCACAUUAAAAGGGUGAAAAUAUGUAAAAUUAAUUUAAAUAAAAUUUAACCCAGCAUAUUCAAAAUAUUAUUUCAACAUGUAAUCAUGUAAACGCAUUAUUCACCUAAUUCAGU